RNAcentral lists this long non-coding RNA (2309 nucleotides) under Homo sapiens (human). RNAcentral's name for it is "HSALNT0066134". The record is from RNAcentral. Lineage: Eukaryota; Metazoa; Chordata; Mammalia; Primates; Hominidae.
UAAAGUAGUUAUUCAACCAUGUGGAAAACACUGCGUACAUAAUCAUGUACUGGGAAAAGUCAUGCAAUGAAAGUUAACAUCUUUUUUUUUAAAGGCCUCCAAGAAAAGAUGGGGGCUCUGGUUGGAAAGAUGUGGCAGAUGUCAGCUACCAGAUGGCAAGAAGGAGGCAGUUCCGGACACAGGCUCGAAACAGAGAAGUUAGUGUGGGAAAGUGAGAGCAAACUGACCCCACCAUGCAGAGAGAGUGGGCAAGGCGUGAGUAAAGACAAGGAACAAGAGAAAGAAUGAGAGGAAAUGCUGUUUGGUGGGUGGAAUUUGUGUUUUGCCUCUAGAAGUGUUGUUCUGAAGAGGGCAGAAGAUAACCACGUUGGCUGAAACAAAACAGUCUUUGCCCAUCAGGGGACCAGUCACUCUUCAUCAGUUCUUAACAUCUCUCCUCUGGUGGCAAAUGCCAUCUAGAAGCUCCAUGUCUUCACAGAACAGAAAGUCCUAGAGAUCUUGAUAACUCAGCCACUCAUCAGAAAGCUCUUGAAUGCUUUCUCAGAGUGCUGUUCUUGGAAUGAAAGCAACAACUUUCGUGCCCUGAGCAGUAUCUCAAGCCACUUGGGCCUGAAACUUGUGUCCUCAUUGUCAACCUUGAAGCAUAUAGAUGUCAUUCGGAGAAAUCCUUUGACUGCUCUCAGCCCAGACUUCCUCAUCUGGAGAAUGGAGAUAUUACCAGCGGCUCCUACUUUGUUUCAGUGUUUUGUGGGAAUCAUCUGAUGGAUGUAAAACCUUUUGGAAAAUGUAAAAUCCUAUAUAAAAAAAAGAUGAUCCUAAAAAUUGCAAUAUUAUAGGAUUAAACCAGAACAACAACCUUCAUCUAGGUUAUACAUGAAAAUCGAGUUUAAAAAUCUCUUAUUUAGUAAUACCAAAAGAUACUGGUUCAAAGAAUCAUGACUAUCACUUGUAUAAUCUUUCUACUUGUUCUCUAGCUAAAUGCCUUAAAUCUAUGGAGUUCUAAUACUGAAAGAAUUAAGAAAAUCAUUGCCACAUUAAAGGUGAAAGUUUUUAAAAAUAUAUUAAUGAGGUGGUGGGAAGUAGGCUGACAUUAAAGUAGGUUUGGAAGUGUUUGCUUUCUCUAAUUAAAUAGAGCUAAUGAGUUUCUCCACUGAGCCUGAGCACUGGGCUAAACAGUCUCACAAGCCUCUGGUUUCUGUGAUCUCAGUAAGAGAUGGCCAACUGGCAGCCGAAAAUAAUCUGCAUCAUGGGGUGAUUCAUCCUUCACACCUUUGGGUGAAACCUUCCUGUCAGAAUGCAGGAACAGGUUGCAAGCACCAUGCAGGGUUGAGUUAGAGUCUCUUUGGUCUUCAGAAGCUGCUGACCCCUCACUCAUAUCAAGAGACUGUAGCACAAGGUCACUACAACAAGAAUCAGAGAAUGGCAAAAUGAAAGCUUCCACAGAUCACAAAUCAGAGCUGGGAACAAAGUGACAAGGAGGAGAUAGAAUUUAACUGAACCACCCAUCGUUGAAAAUGGGGGCAGGGGGUAGGAUCUAGAGAUACAGAAGGCAUGCCUCUACCCUCUCCUUACUCACAAGCAUGGGAUAUGGGUUUUAAAAAAAGAAAAUGAAGACAAUCUAGCAUAUCUUCAGUGCUUUUGUGGGGUCUGCAGGUAUAAUCAAUCCCUUGGUGUAGUUUAUAAAGCCAUUUAUGACCUGGCCCAGCUUUCCUCUCCAUUUCUGCACAUUCCCUGAACAUCUCACCACCACCUCGCAUCACCACGAAGAUGGAAGGAGCUUCUCCCAGACCUGGACGCGUCCUCUGUACGUGCUGCCCGUCCUGCCCGAAAUGACCUGUCUUUCCUCUGCACAUUCUAAGUCUUCCUUAGUGGAGCCACCUGCUCAGCAAAGACAUUCCUGACCACCCCCUUUCUGUCACCCUGUUUCCCCCAGUUCCUCAGACUCCUUAAACUUGGUCCCUCUUUCAGGUCUUUGAACAGGUGCUUGUCUCCAUCUUUGUCAUCCUUAUUGCAAUUUAUCUCUCAGGUCUCCACUUAAAUACCACUUGGAGGAGAAAUCCUUCAUAUCCCAUUGACUUCUCCAGUCAGGGCCCCAUCUAAUUUUCUACUAGAAUCCUGUUCUCUUCCUUCAUUACACUUGUCACAGCUUUUUAAAGUAAUCAAUCAAUAAAAAAUAUAGUGUAUGAACUUGAUUUAAGACUACACACACAAAUACUUGAGACUGUAACGUUGGUAAAUUUCAAGGACUAUGUUUUGCUCUUCAUUGUAGAUCCAGUAAUACUGGGUGCUCAAUAAAAUAUUUGAUGAAC